CAAGGUGGCCGGGCGGCCGCUGUCCCGGUUAUUGCCGGGAGAGAGGAAAGUCCGAGCUCCACCGGGCAGGAUGCCCGCUAACGGCGGGGCGGGGUGACCCGACGGAAAGCGCCACAGAAACAUACCGCCUGUUUCGGCAGGCAAGGGUGAAAAGGCGAGGUAAGAGCUCACCGCCCUGGUGGUGACAUCAGGGGCCAGGCAAGCCCCAUCCGGAGCAAGGCCUAAUAGGGGGACAAGGUUCGCCCGGACCGUCCCCGGGUUGGCCGCUGGAGCCUGUCGGCAACGGCAGGCCUAGAUAGAUGGUCGUCGUCCGCGCAAGCGGAAACAGAACUCGGCUUACAGGCCACCUUGGCCA
This 355-nucleotide RNase P RNA is filed under the name SAR202 cluster bacterium. RNAcentral's name for it is "RNase P RNA component class A". It matches the Rfam family "Bacterial RNase P class A". From Rfam's summary of the family: Ribonuclease P (RNase P) is a ubiquitous endoribonuclease, found in archaea, bacteria and eukarya as well as chloroplasts and mitochondria. Lineage: Bacteria; Bacillati; Chloroflexota; Dehalococcoidia. The record is from RNAcentral.